AGAGUUUGAUCCUGGCUCAGAACGAACGCUGGCGGCAUGCCUAAUACAUGCAAGUCGAACGAGAUCUUCGGAUCUAGUGGCGCACGGGUGCGUAACGCGUGGGAAUCUGCCCUUGGGUUCGGAAUAACAUCUGGAAACGGAUGCUAAUACCGGAUGAUGACGUAAGUCCAAAGAUUUAUCGCCCAAGGAUGAGCCCGCGUAGGAUUAGCUAGUUGGUGAGGUAAAGGCUCACCAAGGCUACGAUCCUUAGCUGGUCUGAGAGGAUGAUCAGCCACACUGGGACUGAGACACGGCCCAGACUCCUACGGGAGGCAGCAGUAGGGAAUAUUGGACAAUGGGGGCAACCCUGAUCCAGCAAUGCCGCGUGAGUGAUGAAGGCCUUAGGGUUGUAAAGCUCUUUUACCCGAGAUGAUAAUGACAGUAUCGGGAGAAUAAGCUCCGGCUAACUCCGUGCCAGCAGCCGCGGUAAUACGGAGGGAGCUAGCGUUGUUCGGAAUUACUGGGCGUAAAGCGCACGUAGGCGGUUAUUUAAGUCAGAGGUGAAAGCCCGGGGCUCAACCCCGGAACUGCCUUUGAGACUGGAUAACUUGAAUCCAGGAGAGGUGAGUGGAAUUCCGAGUGUAGCGGUGAAAUGCGUAGA
RNAcentral lists this ribosomal RNA (640 nucleotides) under uncultured bacterium. RNAcentral describes it as "bacterial SSU rRNA". It matches the Rfam family "Bacterial small subunit ribosomal RNA", at positions 8 to 694 of the family's 1533-position model. The record is from RNAcentral.